AUCAUCGAAUCUUUGAACGCAUCUUGCGCCUUUUGGAAUUCCAGAAGGCACACCUGUUUGAGUGUCAUGA
This 70-nucleotide ribosomal RNA is filed under the name Phragmidium griseum. RNAcentral describes it as "partial 5.8S ribosomal RNA". It matches the Rfam family "5.8S ribosomal RNA", at positions 88 to 154 of the family's 154-position model. Rfam says of the family: 5.8S ribosomal RNA (5.8S rRNA) is a component of the large subunit of the eukaryotic ribosome. It is transcribed by RNA polymerase I as part of the 45S precursor that also contains 18S and 28S rRNA. Functionally, it is thought that 5.8S rRNA may be involved in ribosome translocation. The record is from RNAcentral. Lineage: Eukaryota; Fungi; Basidiomycota; Pucciniomycetes; Pucciniales; Phragmidiaceae. RNAcentral also lists the same sequence under 2 other names.